GACGAACGCUGGCGGCGUGCUUAACACAUGCAAGUCGAACGGAAAGGCCCUGCUUUUGUGGGGUGCUCGAGUGGCGAACGGGUGAGUAACACGUGAGUAACCUGCCCUUGACUUUGGGAUAACUUCAGGAAACUGGGGCUAAUACCGGAUAGGAGCUCCUGCUGCAUGGUGGGGGUUGGAAAGUUUCGGCGGUUGGGGAUGGACUCGCGGCUUAUCAGCUUGUUGGUGGGGUAGUGGCUUACCAAGGCUUUGACGGGUAGCCGGCCUGAGAGGGUGACCGGCCACAUUGGGACUGAGAUACGGACCAGACUCCUACGGGAGGCAGCAGUGGGGAAUAUUGCACAAUGGGCGGAAGCCUGAUGCAGAAACGCCGCGUGCGGGAUGACGGCCUUCGGGUUGUAAACCGCUUUAGCCUGUGACGAAGCGGGAGUGACGGUAAUGGGUAAAGAAGCACCGGCUAACUACGUG
This 468-nucleotide ribosomal RNA is filed under the name uncultured bacterium. Its description in RNAcentral is "partial 16S ribosomal RNA". It matches the Rfam family "Bacterial small subunit ribosomal RNA", at positions 28 to 507 of the family's 1533-position model. The record is from RNAcentral.